This 1115-nucleotide long non-coding RNA is filed under the name Piliocolobus tephrosceles (Ugandan red Colobus). RNAcentral's name for it is "lncRNA (ENSPTEG00000013981.1)". The record is from RNAcentral. Lineage: Eukaryota; Metazoa; Chordata; Mammalia; Primates; Cercopithecidae.
CCCCAGGAGUACAUUUUUAGAACCCACAGCGCCAUAAACCAAAGAGAAGGAGACUUCCUGGUGCCCCGUCAGCUUCUGGAGGCGAUGUUCUCAGCUGACAGCUCUGGCACCCUCCCCUGUAGGUGAGACAGGUAAAUGGGAUUCUUGCAUCCAAAACGGAACAGGGUAAAAAUUCUCAAGCGUCGUCGACACAUUGAGAAAAACACAAAUUCAGCCUCCUGGGUUCUGGUCUAAUCCCCAGCCUCGUCACGUGCCCCAGGCCCUCGUCGCAGAGCCGGCAGCCCCCACACACGAAACCCCUUCCUGUUUCUCUAUGUCGAAAGGAACUCAGAAUAGAGACACUGAGCUGUUUGCGUUGUCUCUUUCGUCUUUGUCAACAGCAGAGGAUCUGCAAGGAAACAGCGGGAUUCCAGCAGUCAGACGGUCUUGCUUGGUGAAAAUUUCCAUAACCCUCCUGGGGAAUGCAGGAGACUUACAGAGACAACACAUGUGCGAAUGUUUACACAAAAGAGGUUAAAAGCAGCAAAGAAAUCAUCAUCAUGCCAUCUAUUUUUUUAACGACACAGAAAACGUUCGUGACUGCUUAGAAAUGUGUAAAUGGAAUUUCUCGGUUACUGGAUGACAAUGGAAAUCCUUUGAUUGGUGCAUUUUGUUGGUUGGUUUUGCUAAUACUUUGCUGAAUCUGUUAGCCUUCCCCCUUUCACAUCAAACUGUGGCAGCAACUCUGACGGGUUUUGCAAGCAUGAAGCAGAGGGAAGGGCUACCAAAUGGAUCUCUGUGGAGCGGUGGUUAUCACGGGGAGGAGACGGCAGCAUGCCGGGAAAAUAACACUGAAGGCCCUUUUUCCAGAAAGGAAAUAGAUUGAGUAUUCUGGUUUUGAAAAUAGCACAGGCUCAUUGGAAAACCUCCAAACUAUACUGAUGGGAGUUAAAGGGUGGGCACCGAUCAUGACAGCAGCCGGCAGUGUCCCCCCAGUUUAAACCUGGACACGAGGCCUUCCAGAUGUUUUCUCUGUGUAUAGAUACCUUGUUUUGAAAAACAACGAAAACAUGCUGUUUUGUAGUCUUUUUUUUACGAGUGACAUAGUGAGCAAUAAAUAGAUUAAAUUUGAACCA